This is a small nuclear RNA of Choloepus hoffmanni (Hoffmann's two-fingered sloth), 161 nucleotides long. Its record names the gene U1. It matches the Rfam family "U1 spliceosomal RNA". From Rfam's summary of the family: U1 is a small nuclear RNA (snRNA) component of the spliceosome (involved in pre-mRNA splicing). Its 5' end forms complementary base pairs with the 5' splice junction, thus defining the 5' donor site of an intron. NCBI's taxonomy places the organism in Eukaryota, Metazoa, Chordata, Mammalia, Pilosa, Megalonychidae. The record is from Ensembl.
AUACUUACCUGGGAAGUGAGACACCAUGAUCAUGAAAGUGGUUUUCCCAGGGUAAGGCUUAUCCAUUGCAUACCAGAGGUGCCGAUCCCUGUGAUUUCCCCAGAUGUGGGAAACUCAAUCACAUAAUUGUGGUAGUGAGGACUGCGUUCAUGCUCUCCCCU